Molecule: ribosomal RNA, 360 nt
Filed under: Yamadazyma tenuis
Lineage: Eukaryota; Fungi; Ascomycota; Pichiomycetes; Serinales; Debaryomycetaceae
Description: partial large subunit ribosomal RNA
Rfam family: Eukaryotic large subunit ribosomal RNA
Source: RNAcentral
UCAAAUUUGAAAUCUGGCGUCUUCGACGUCCGAGUUGUAAUUUGAAGAAGGUAUCUUUGGAAUUGGCUCUUGUCUAUGUUCCUUGGAACAGGACGUCACAGAGGGUGAGAAUCCCGUGCGAUGAGAUGCCCAAUUCCGUGUAAAGUUCCUUCGACGAGUCGAGUUGUUUGGGAAUGCAGCUCUAAGUGGGUGGUAAAUUCCAUCUAAAGCUAAAUAUUGGCGAGAGACCGAUAGCGAACAAGUACUGUGAAGGAAAGAUGAAAAGAACUUUGAAAAGAGAGUGAAAAAGUACGUGAAAUUGUUGAAAGGGAAGGGCUUGAGGUCAGACUUGGUUUUACCAGGCCAGCAUCAGUUUGGACG